GGAAAGUUGGCUGAGUGGUCGAAAGCACACGUUUGGAGUACGUGCACACGUUCUACGUGUCUAGGGUUCGAAUCCCUAACUUUCCG
This 86-nucleotide transfer RNA is filed under the name Candidatus Peribacteria bacterium. RNAcentral's name for it is "tRNA-Ser". It matches the Rfam family "tRNA". Rfam says of the family: Transfer RNA (tRNA) molecules are approximately 80 nucleotides in length. Their secondary structure includes four short double-helical elements and three loops (D, anti-codon, and T loops). Further hydrogen bonds mediate the characteristic L-shaped molecular structure. tRNAs have two regions of fundamental functional importance: the anti-codon, which is responsible for specific mRNA codon recognition, and the 3' end, to which the tRNAs corresponding amino acid is attached (by aminoacyl-tRNA synthetases). tRNAs cope with the degeneracy of the genetic code in two manners: having more than one tRNA (with a specific anti-codon) for a particular amino acid; and 'wobble' base-pairing, i.e. permitting non-standard base-pairing at the 3rd anti-codon position. Lineage: Bacteria; Candidatus Peregrinibacteriota; Candidatus Peribacteria. The record is from RNAcentral.